AAAUAAGAAGCAAAAUUUGCAUUUAGUUUCGACCUAAAAAUAUGGUUUUUAACCCUUAUUUA
This 62-nucleotide transfer RNA is filed under the name Cucujoidea sp. 35 KM-2017. RNAcentral describes it as "tRNA-Arg". The record is from RNAcentral. Lineage: Eukaryota; Metazoa; Arthropoda; Insecta; Coleoptera.